UACGGAGGGUGCAAGCAUUAAUCGGAAUUACUGGGCGUAAAGCGUGCGCAGGCGGUUUGUUAAGUCUGCUGUGAAAUCCCCGAGCUCAACUUGGGAAUUGCAGUGGAUACUGGCAAGCUGGAGUACGGUAGAGGAAGGUGGAAUUCCGUGGUGUAGCAGUGAAAUGCGUAGAGAUCGGGAGGAACACCAGUGGCGAAGGCGGCCUUCUGGACCAGUACUGACGCUCAUGCACGAAAGCGUGGGGGAGCAAACAGG
RNAcentral lists this ribosomal RNA (255 nucleotides) under uncultured bacterium. RNAcentral describes it as "partial 16S ribosomal RNA". It matches the Rfam family "Bacterial small subunit ribosomal RNA", at positions 524 to 776 of the family's 1533-position model. The record is from RNAcentral.